ACGGAGGAUGCAAGCGUUAUCCGGAUUCAUUGGGUUUAAAGGGUGCGCAGGCGGAAUGAUAAGUCUGUGGUGAAAUCUCUAGGCUCAACUGCGAAUCUGCACCUGAUACUGUUGUACUUGAGUACACUAGAAGUGAACGGAAUGCGUCGUGUAGCGGUGAAAUGCUUAGAUAUGACGCAGAACACCGAUCGCGAAGGCAGCUCACUAAAUUGUAACUGACACUCAGGCACGAAAGCGUGGGGAUCAAACGG
Molecule: ribosomal RNA, 251 nt
Filed under: uncultured prokaryote
Description: partial 16S rRNA
Rfam family: Bacterial small subunit ribosomal RNA
Source: RNAcentral